This 2906-nucleotide ribosomal RNA is filed under the name Escherichia coli O157:H43 str. T22. Its description in RNAcentral is "bacterial LSU rRNA". It matches the Rfam family "Bacterial large subunit ribosomal RNA". Lineage: Bacteria; Pseudomonadati; Pseudomonadota; Gammaproteobacteria; Enterobacterales; Enterobacteriaceae. The record is from RNAcentral.
GGUUAAGCGACUAAGCGUACACGGUGGAUGCCCUGGCAGUCAGAGGCGAUGAAGGACGUGCUAAUCUGCGAUAAGCGUCGGUAAGGUGAUAUGAACCGUUAUAACCGGCGAUUUCCGAAUGGGGAAACCCAGUGUGAUUCGUCACACUAUCAUUAACUGAAUCCAUAGGUUAAUGAGGCGAACCGGGGGAACUGAAACAUCUAAGUACCCCGAGGAAAAGAAAUCAACCGAGAUUCCCCCAGUAGCGGCGAGCGAACGGGGAGCAGCCCAGAGCCUGAAUCAGUGUGUGUGUUAGUGGAAGCGUCUGGAAAGGCGUGCGAUACAGGGUGACAGCCCCGUACACAAAAAUGCACAUGCUGUGAGCUCGAUGAGUAGGGCGGGACACGUGGUAUCCUGUCUGAAUAUGGGGGGACCAUCCUCCAAGGCUAAAUACUCCUGACUGACCGAUAGUGAACCAGUACCGUGAGGGAAAGGCGAAAAGAACCCCGGCGAGGGGAGUGAAAAAGAACCUGAAACCGUGUACGUACAAGCAGUGGGAGCACGCUUAGGCGUGUGACUGCGUACCUUUUGUAUAAUGGGUCAGCGACUUAUAUUCUGUAGCAAGGUUAACCGAAUAGGGGAGCCGAAGGGAAACCGAGUCUUAACUGGGCGUUAAGUUGCAGGGUAUAGACCCGAAACCCGGUGAUCUAGCCAUGGGCAGGUUGAAGGUUGGGUAACACUAACUGGAGGACCGAACCGACUAAUGUUGAAAAAUUAGCGGAUGACUUGUGGCUGGGGGUGAAAGGCCAAUCAAACCGGGAGAUAGCUGGUUCUCCCCGAAAGCUAUUUAGGUAGCGCCUCGUGAAUUCAUCUCCGGGGGUAGAGCACUGUUUCGGCAAGGGGGUCAUCCCGACUUACCAACCCGAUGCAAACUGCGAAUACCGGAGAAUGUUAUCACGGGAGACACACGGCGGGUGCUAACGUCCGUCGUGAAGAGGGAAACAACCCAGACCGCCAGCUAAGGUCCCAAAGUCAUGGUUAAGUGGGAAACGAUGUGGGAAGGCCCAGACAGCCAGGAUGUUGGCUUAGAAGCAGCCAUCAUUUAAAGAAAGCGUAAUAGCUCACUGGUCGAGUCGGCCUGCGCGGAAGAUGUAACGGGGCUAAACCAUGCACCGAAGCUGCGGCAGCGACGCUUAUGCGUUGUUGGGUAGGGGAGCGUUCUGUAAGCCUGCGAAGGUGUGCUGUGAGGCAUGCUGGAGGUAUCAGAAGUGCGAAUGCUGACAUAAGUAACGAUAAAGCGGGUGAAAAGCCCGCUCGCCGGAAGACCAAGGGUUCCUGUCCAACGUUAAUCGGGGCAGGGUGAGUCGACCCCUAAGGCGAGGCCGAAAGGCGUAGUCGAUGGGAAACAGGUUAAUAUUCCUGUACUUGGUGUUACUGCGAAGGGGGGACGGAGAAGGCUAUGUUGGCCGGGCGACGGUUGUCCCGGUUUAAGCGUGUAGGCUGGUUUUCCAGGCAAAUCCGGAAAAUCAAGGCUGAGGCGUGAUGACGAGGCACUACGGUGCUGAAGCAACAAAUGCCCUGCUUCCAGGAAAAGCCUCUAAGCAUCAGGUAACAUCAAAUCGUACCCCAAACCGACACAGGUGGUCAGGUAGAGAAUACCAAGGCGCUUGAGAGAACUCGGGUGAAGGAACUAGGCAAAAUGGUGCCGUAACUUCGGGAGAAGGCACGCUGAUAUGUAGGUGAAGUCCCUCGCGGAUGGAGCUGAAAUCAGUCGAAGAUACCAGCUGGCUGCAACUGUUUAUUAAAAACACAGCACUGUGCAAACACGAAAGUGGACGUAUACGGUGUGACGCCUGCCCGGUGCCGGAAGGUUAAUUGAUGGGGUUAGCGCAAGCGAAGCUCUUGAUCGAAGCCCCGGUAAACGGCGGCCGUAACUAUAACGGUCCUAAGGUAGCGAAAUUCCUUGUCGGGUAAGUUCCGACCUGCACGAAUGGCGUAAUGAUGGCCAGGCUGUCUCCACCCGAGACUCAGUGAAAUUGAACUCGCUGUGAAGAUGCAGUGUACCCGCGGCAAGACGGAAAGACCCCGUGAACCUUUACUAUAGCUUGACACUGAACAUUGAGCCUUGAUGUGUAGGAUAGGUGGGAGGCUUUGAAGUGUGGACGCCAGUCUGCAUGGAGCCGACCUUGAAAUACCACCCUUUAAUGUUUGAUGUUCUAACGUUGACCCGUAAUCCGGGUUGCGGACAGUGUCUGGUGGGUAGUUUGACUGGGGCGGUCUCCUCCUAAAGAGUAACGGAGGAGCACGAAGGUUGGCUAAUCCUGGUCGGACAUCAGGAGGUUAGUGCAAUGGCAUAAGCCAGCUUGACUGCGAGCGUGACGGCGCGAGCAGGUGCGAAAGCAGGUCAUAGUGAUCCGGUGGUUCUGAAUGGAAGGGCCAUCGCUCAACGGAUAAAAGGUACUCCGGGGAUAACAGGCUGAUACCGCCCAAGAGUUCAUAUCGACGGCGGUGUUUGGCACCUCGAUGUCGGCUCAUCACAUCCUGGGGCUGAAGUAGGUCCCAAGGGUAUGGCUGUUCGCCAUUUAAAGUGGUACGCGAGCUGGGUUUAGAACGUCGUGAGACAGUUCGGUCCCUAUCUGCCGUGGGCGCUGGAGAACUGAGGGGGGCUGCUCCUAGUACGAGAGGACCGGAGUGGACGCAUCACUGGUGUUCGGGUUGUCAUGCCAAUGGCACUGCCCGGUAGCUAAAUGCGGAAGAGAUAAGUGCUGAAAGCAUCUAAGCACGAAACUUGCCCCGAGAUGAGUUCUCCCUGACUCCUUGAGAGUCCUGAAGGAACGUUGAAGACGACGACGUUGAUAGGCCGGGUGUGUAAGCGCAGCGAUGCGUUGAGCUAACCGGUACUAAUGAACCGUGAGGCUUAACCUUAC